This 499-nucleotide ribosomal RNA is filed under the name uncultured bacterium. RNAcentral describes it as "bacterial SSU rRNA". It matches the Rfam family "Bacterial small subunit ribosomal RNA", at positions 19 to 518 of the family's 1533-position model. The record is from RNAcentral.
CUGGCUCAGGAUGAACGCUGGCGGCGUGCUUAACACAUGCAAGUCGAACGGAGUUUUAAACGGAAGUCCUCGGAUGGAAGUUUAGAAACGUUAGUGGCGGACGGGUGAGUAACGCGUGAGUAACCUGCCUCAUACAGGGGGAUAACAGUCGGAAACGAUUGCUAAAACCGCAUAACAUAGCGAAACCGCAUGAUUUUGCUAUCAAAUAUUUAUAGGUAUGAGAUGGGCCCGCGUCUGAUUAGCUAGUUGGUGGGGUAAUGGCCUACCAAGGCGACGAUCAGUAGCCGGCUUGAGAGAGUGACCGGCCACAUUGGGACUGAGACACGGCCCAAACUCCUACGGGAGGCAGCAGUGGGGAAUAUUGGACAAUGGGGGAAACCCUGAUCCAGCCGACGCCGCGUGAGUGAAGAAGUAUUUCGGUAUGUAAAGCUCUAUCAGCAGGGAAGAUAAUGACAGUACCUGACUAAGAAGCCCCGGCUAACUACGUGCCAGCCGCCGC